RNAcentral lists this ribosomal RNA (465 nucleotides) under uncultured Klebsiella sp. RNAcentral describes it as "bacterial SSU rRNA". It matches the Rfam family "Bacterial small subunit ribosomal RNA", at positions 338 to 795 of the family's 1533-position model. Lineage: Bacteria; Pseudomonadati; Pseudomonadota; Gammaproteobacteria; Enterobacterales; Enterobacteriaceae. The record is from RNAcentral.
CCUACGGGAGGCAGCAGUGGGGAAUAUUGCACAAUGGGCGCAAGCCUGAUGCAGCCAUGCCGCGUGUGUGAAGAAGGCCUUCGGGUUGUAAAGCACUUUCAGCGGGGAGGAAGGCGUUAAGGUUAAUAACCUUGGCGAUUGACGUUACCCGCAGAAGAAGCACCGGCUAACUCCGUGCCAGCAGCCGCGGUAAUACGGAGGGUGCAAGCGUUAAUCGGAAUUACUGGGCGUAAAGCGCACGCAGGCGGUCUGUCAAGUCGGAUGUGAAAUCCCCGGGCUCAACCUGGGAACUGCAUUCGAAACUGGCAGGCUAGAGUCUUGUAGAGGGGGGUGGAAUUCCAGGUGUAGCGGUGAAAUGCGUAGAGAUCUGGAGGAAUACCGGUGGCGAAGGCGGCCCCCUGGACAAAGACUGACGCUCAGGUGCGAAAGCGUGGGGAGCAAACAGGAUUAGAUACCCGGGUAGUC